GAUGAACGCUGGCGGCGUGCCUAAUACAUGCAAGUCGAGCGAACGGACGAGAAGCUUGCUUCUCUGAUGUUAGCGGCGGACGGGUGAGUAACACGUGGAUAACCUACCUAUAAGACUGGGAUAACGUCGGGAAACCGGAGCUAACACCGGAUGAUAUGGUGAACGGCAUGGUUCAAAAGUGAAAGACGGUCUUGCUGUCACUUAUCGAUGUAUCCGCGCUGCAGUAGCUAGUUGGUACGGUAACGGCCUACCAAGGCAACGAUGCAUAGCCGACCUGAGAGGGUGAACGGCCACACUGGAACUGAGACACGGUCCAGACCCCUACGGGAGGCAGCCGGAGGGAAACUUUCGCAAUGGGGGACAACCUGACGGAGCCCCGCCGCGUGAGUGAAGAAGGUCUUCGGAUCGUAAAACUCUGUUAUUAGGGAAGAACAUCUGUGUAAGUAACUGUGCACAUCUUUACGGUACCUAAUCAGAAAGCCACGGCUUACUUCGUG
This 497-nucleotide ribosomal RNA is filed under the name uncultured bacterium. Its description in RNAcentral is "partial 16S ribosomal RNA". It matches the Rfam family "Bacterial small subunit ribosomal RNA", at positions 28 to 507 of the family's 1533-position model. The record is from RNAcentral.